Silurus meridionalis is the source of this 74-nucleotide non-coding RNA. Lineage: Eukaryota; Metazoa; Chordata; Actinopteri; Siluriformes; Siluridae. The record is from the annotation of a RefSeq genome assembly.
GGUGCUGUGGCUUAGUUGGUUAAAGUGCCUGUCUAGUAAAUAGGAGCUCAUGGGUUUGAAUCCCAGCAGCGUCU